CUCUCGCUCGCUCGCUCUCGCACACACACACACAGAGACACACACACAGACACACAGACACACACACACAGAGACACGCAUGCACGCACGCACACACACACACACGCGCACACACACACACACACACACCCGCCCGCUCGGCUCCGCUCCCGAGCUGCCUCAGCAAGGAGGAGCCCGGACGGAAAACACCAGGGCAGCAAGGAUUUGGAAGUGGAGUUCCUGGAGAGUGAACCUGGCAAUGAGUGCAGGUUUCCCUGAAAGCUGAGGCUCUUUCUUGUUCCCUAGGAGGCUGAGAAGAGAGGGGACCCUGGAUGUCAGCCCAGUCUCCGAUUUUUGUUUGCUUUGACUUUGAGAGAGAUUUCUUCUUUCAGCUCUGGGAAUUGACAGAUGUUUGCUUGCCCAACCUUCUACAGGAACCAUAGAAAGUCCUGCUUAUCCUGCUCAGCCCUGAUGGCUGGAACUGUAGAGUCAAAACCCUAUACAGAGCCCUGAUGCUACACAGUACAACAGUACAUUCAGCUUCUCUCCAAGACGAUGACUAGUUUCUGUUCCACAUCUCUGUUAGAGGGGAUCUUCUGAUUACCUAAAGGAGUAAACUGCAUCCUGUAGAUUUCCUCUUAAAACUUCUGAUUUACGGAAGAGAAGACCAACUUGUUGCAGGUGCAUCAGUGACAUCAAACUGACUUCUCUUUUGCCUGACUGCCCUGUCCAUCUUCUGUCAGUCUAAAAUUAUCGUUUUUGAAAGGAUUGAAGGAGUUGUAUUAAUAUUUGUGUGAACUCAUUUUCCUGCGCACUGUCUGUUCUUCUUCUCUCCUUCCCCUUGGUGUCUCAUUCAUCUUGGCUGCUUUUAAAAAUUCUGUUGCCUCUAGUGAGGGACUGCCAGAUUAAACCAGUGAAGAGAAACCAGGUGACUGUCUACUUUUACAAAUAUAGGUUGUGUAUAAUAAAUUCAGGUUUUACAUCUAUGCAAAUUAAAUCAUCAUAUGAUUCUGACUACAUGCAUUUUUUAUCAAAUAUGGCAUAUAUUUCACAAAUUAUAUUUAACUUACAGUCAUGUUGCUAUUCUGAAUACCUAACUAGGAGUUACAAGGUGUGCCACUAGAUCUUAGUAAACAGACUUACGAAAACAGAAGAAAUAAGAGAAAAAAACCUUAUUUUCUUGUACUCCUGGUAAGUCCAGUGGAAUGGCUUUUCCUGCUAUAGGUGGUAAUAUAAACACCUCACCACUGAGCUGUUUAGAGACACAAGUACAUCUUGUUCUUAGAAAUGUAGAUAUUUUUUAAAGGCCUAAACAGAACAUCCCCAGAAUAAGGAAGUUUGAAAGCAAUGUGUCUUUGGUCUGGAGUUUACCACAUCUAGUUAGUAAGGCCUUCUGCUAACGUUUCUGUCAUGGAGUGGGAGACAUCAGUCACAAUGACAAAAUAAACAUUUUACUUCUGCAAAACUAUAUUUUCACCUCAGGAAUAUUGUGAAGUGAAAAUAGGACUUAGCACAAUUCUUCCUUCGGGGUUUAUCUACAGACAGGGCAGUUUCAGUGUAAAGUCCUAAGCCCUGCAAUAUGAUUCCCAACCAUAGGUGCGCCAUACUUUGAAUAAUCAAUCUGUCAGCUGAGCUAUGACAAGGAUUAUGCUGUGAAGGUAACAACUCAAUGCUUUCAAUGUUAACCAUCCUCGGCAACUGCUGCUGUUUUUCCCAUAAAUAAAAAGAUAUUUUGGU
Non-coding RNA from Phalacrocorax carbo (great cormorant), 1716 nucleotides. The record is from RefSeq and is a predicted model, not a curated record. NCBI's taxonomy places the organism in Eukaryota, Metazoa, Chordata, Aves, Suliformes, Phalacrocoracidae.